AGGGGAAUCUUGCGCAAUGGGGGAAAGCAUGAAGCAGCCAUGCCGCGUGAAUGAUGAAGGUGUUAGGGAAGUAAAAUUCUUUCACAGAGGAGGAUAAUGACGGUACUCGGAGAAGAAGCCCCGGCUAAAUUUGUGCCAGCAGCCGCGGUAAUAUGAAGGGGGCGAGCGUUGUUCUGAAUUACUGGGCGUAAAGGGAGCGUAGGCGGAUAGUUUAGUCAGAGGUGAAAGCCCCGGGCUCAACCUUGGAAUUGCCUUUGAUACUGGCUAUCUAGAGUACGGAAGAGGUAGGUGGAACUCCGAGUGUAGAGGUGAAAUUCGUAGAUAUUGGAGAACACCA
This 337-nucleotide ribosomal RNA is filed under the name uncultured bacterium. RNAcentral describes it as "bacterial SSU rRNA". It matches the Rfam family "Bacterial small subunit ribosomal RNA", at positions 355 to 711 of the family's 1533-position model. The record is from RNAcentral.